GCGUUAGUAAAUCCGUUGGC
This 20-nucleotide transfer RNA is filed under the name Pseudohygrohypnum calcicola. Its description in RNAcentral is "partial tRNA-Leu". Lineage: Eukaryota; Viridiplantae; Streptophyta; Bryopsida; Hypnales; Pylaisiaceae. The record is from RNAcentral. RNAcentral also lists the same sequence under 1 other name.